Molecule: long non-coding RNA, 1518 nt
Filed under: Capra hircus (goat)
Lineage: Eukaryota; Metazoa; Chordata; Mammalia; Artiodactyla; Bovidae
Description: lncRNA (ENSCHIG00010017479.1)
Source: RNAcentral
AUGUUCCGUGCCUUCCUAGCUCCUCCCCGUUGCUCUUCCCCGGGGUCCUUGCGGCUGUUCCUUCACCCGCCCACCAAGGUCCCCUAUCCUGAGGUCCUGCUUUCCACCCCAGCUCCUUGCCCACCCCGGGCAGCCGCAGGGUCCCCACGCAGGAGUCACUCAACAGCUUUGGCUUCUCGAUUUCUUGAUGUCAUCGCCAGUCCCCUUCCAAGCUUCUCUUCUGCCCCUACUUCCAGGCUUUUACCUCUUGCAUCCCCAGCUGCCCACUGGCCGGUGUCCCGUGCCCCUCCGGCCCCUUCUGUUCAGGAGGUGAGCGGCUCUGUCUCCAGCUGUGCCGCCCGCAACCCUGCCCUUCCCCGUCUGCUCCUCAGCUGCCCUCACCCUGGGACCCCGGCCUGGCUCUCCACCGCCUGCCCCACCUGCUGCCCUGUGGACGGAGCUCUUCUCCCUUUGAGAUCCUGUAGAUGGGUGGCCUUUGCCUCUGGCAGGGAGCUCGCUGGUGCCUGGCCACCCUCCCCCUCUCCUGGCCCUCUUGCUUUUCCUCUGCAUCGGUUGUUUUGCACCUUCCCUGUGCUCUCCUUAAGCCCCANNNNNNNNNNNNNNNNNNNNNNNNNNNNNNNNNNNNNCGCACUGAGGAGCCGCCCUGCUCUCCUGCCCUUUCUCCACCUGUGUCUGUCUCCCUCCACGCCUCACCUCAGCCCUGUUCCUGCUGCCUGUGUCCCUGGCUGAGACUCAGCCCUGCCUUCUGCGCAGACCUCAUCUCCCAAGUCUCAGGGACGGGCGUCACUAGUCAUCCGCUGUUCUUGUGGUCACUUCUGUCUGCUGGCGUCCACACUACCCCCUCCUCUCACUGCCCCGGCUUUACUUUCCAUCCUACCUAAGCUUUUGCUCAGAGCUGCUCGUGACGUUUAUCUGCAUCCUCUCACUUCCCUGGUUCUGCUGCGGCCUCCGCAGCCUCCACCCCCGGUGACCUGGCUCCCCUUGGGGUCGGACCCUGGGCAUUUCACAGCCGACCCUCCUGAGCUUCCCUUCCCAUUCGGCCCUCACAGGCCCUGCCUCCCCAGGUCUCCUCCGGGGUCACGGGUGUAGGUUGUGAAUCUGCGUCUGCAACAGGGAUGCCUUCUCCGGCUCUUCAGGCUUUCUCAUCUCACUUGUUGGUGUCAGAGGCCAGAAACCAUUCUCAGGUGACCCCACCAUCCCAGGAAGGGAAAUACAUGGAGCGAAUCCUGCAGUCAAGGCCAUCUUCCACCUGUGCUUCCUUUCAGAUCUUUGGGAACCUUAAAAGCAGAACCAGUGCUUGUGGGAGAAACUGGGAAGGCAGAGGGCAUCUGGUCUACCCAGCAUGACUAUCUCUGGAGGCUGGGGGCCAGCAGGUGGAUGUGUGGGACUGUCUCUGAAGGCUGGGGGCCAGCUGGUGGAUGUGUGAGGCUGUCUCUGAAGGCUGGGGGCCAGCUGUUGGAUAUGCGGGGCUGUCUCUGGAGGCUGGGGGUCAGUUGUUGGAUGUGCGGUGCUGUCUCU